Molecule: ribosomal RNA, 471 nt
Filed under: uncultured bacterium
Lineage: Bacteria
Description: bacterial SSU rRNA
Rfam family: Bacterial small subunit ribosomal RNA
Source: RNAcentral
UGCAGUCGAACGGCAGCACGGAGCUUGCUCUGGUGGCGAGUGGCGAACGGGUGAGUAAUAUAUCGGAACGUACCCUAGAGUGGGGGAUAACGUAGCGAAAGUUACGCUAAUACCGCAUACGAUCUAAGGAUGAAAGUGGGGGAUCGCAAGACCUCAUGCUCGUGGAGCGGCCGAUAUCUGAUUAGCUAGUUGGUAGGGUAAAAGCCUACCAAGGCAUCGAUCAGUAGCUGGUCUGAGAGGACGACCAGCCACACUGGAACUGAGACACGGUCCAGACUCCUACGGGAGGCAGCAGUGGGGAAUUUUGGACAAUGGGCGAAAGCCUGAUCCAGCAAUGCCGCGUGAGUGAAGAAGGCCUUCGGGUUGUAAAGCUCUUUUGUCAGGGAAGAAACGGUGAAGGCUAAUAUCCUUUGCUAAUGACGGUACCUGAAGAAUAAGCACCGGCUAACUACGUGCCAGCAGCCGCGGUAA